CAUACAGCUUUCCCUUGCUGGACUGGGAUGGACAUAUAUCACACUCAUCCAUUUCAGUGGAGCAAUGCAGUAAACAAGCAUCCACUGUCACUUUAUGGUAGAUACUAAAAAAGUUUAUAUUCCCUCCCAGCUGAAUUUAUUUGCGUUUAACUCCCCAUACACUAAUUUUUAAUACUGUAGUUAAAAUACUUCAUCCUACUCUACCGAAGAAAGGAAACUUUACAGAGUUAUUAAUAUGCUGAUGUUUCAGAGAUCUAUUCGUCUUCUACAGGCAGAAAUAUCCUGGCUGCUAUAUACUGCAGUGAAAGGAAAACACUACGAAGUAAGAUCCUUGUGAGGAUCAAAUGUUUCCAUGCCCUUUUGUUGAUGAACCUGUGACAGCCCCUUCAAAAAUGUAUAAAGAAGCAGUGCUGAGACAUGCAUAGGAAUCCAUCAGGGAAUUAACAACCUGUGGUUUGCAGGAGCUUUUGUCCUUGGCAGAGUAUUUUCAGCACAGGAGAGAAGGUUCUAAAUAAAUCAAUUUUCCUCAAA
Molecule: long non-coding RNA, 531 nt
Organism: Lacerta agilis (Sand lizard)
Lineage: Eukaryota; Metazoa; Chordata; Lepidosauria; Squamata; Lacertidae
Exons: 2
Source: RefSeq, a predicted model, not a curated record